RNAcentral lists this transfer RNA (90 nucleotides) under Nitrospirota bacterium. Its description in RNAcentral is "Nitrospirae bacterium (sediment metagenome) tRNA-Ser". It matches the Rfam family "tRNA". From Rfam's summary of the family: Transfer RNA (tRNA) molecules are approximately 80 nucleotides in length. Lineage: Bacteria; Pseudomonadati; Nitrospirota. The record is from RNAcentral.
GGAGAGGUGUCCGAGUGGCCGAAGGAGCACGACUGGAAAUCGUGUGUGGGGUGAAACUCACCGAGGGUUCGACUCCCUCCCUCUCCGCCA